Microcebus murinus (gray mouse lemur) is the source of this 918-nucleotide non-coding RNA. Lineage: Eukaryota; Metazoa; Chordata; Mammalia; Primates; Cheirogaleidae. The record is from RefSeq and is a predicted model, not a curated record.
GGUAUUCAGGCUUACAAAGAAAGUAAUUAUAGGGCCAGAGACUGGGAGUCAGCCCUCAUUCAUCUCAAUUCCCUUUCACAUAUCAACAUAGCUUGACCUUGAUUUUUUAGAUGCAAGUAAAGGACAUUGAUGUAAUUUGAAUAAGCCAGUUUUUCAACCAUCUUGAGGAGUCGGAAUCAGAAAUGAUGGAUAAAAGCCGGAAGGAGUAACCAGCUCUGAAUUGUUCUUUUAGAGACGUCUUCACAUUGUCAAUCAAAGAGAUAAUUUUGAUUUUGCCACAAUUCCUGCCUCCAUUAAAAGCAAUAAGUGUGUGAUAUCAUAAGAAGUUUGGCAAGCCUCUUGUUCUAAGAGCUGUUGAUGGAUAGGAAAUCAGAGAAAAAGUGAAGAAUCCCAGAGAGCAAGUGACGAUGAAAUCACUAAAGGCAUUUUCCACAGCUUGCUGAGAAUUAAAUAUUUUUCCUUGCAAGAAGUGGUCCAGACCCUGGAAGAACUGGUAGCCAAUUGGUGCAAGGUCUGGUGAAUAUGGUGGAUGAGAGAGAGUUUCCAAGUCCAGCUGCUGUAGUUUGAGCAGUGUUGUUCGUGUGACAUGUGGUUGAAUGCUGUCUUGCAAGUCCUGUUUCUAUUGGCCAAUCUCUGCUGCUUAAUCCCAAGCAUCUCAUCAUUUCAUCGAAGUGGUUGCAGUAGCCAUCUGCUAUAAUUGACUGACCAGGUUUCAUGAAGCUGUAGUGGAUAAUACCAGCACUGGACCACCAGAUACCAUUAGCUUUUUUGGAUGAAUAUUCGGUUUUGGAUUGUGUUUCAGCACUUUGUCUUUACCCAACCAUUGUACUGAACACUUGUGACUGUAAAAAAGAACCCAUUUUUCAUCACAGUAACAAUAUGGUGUAGAAAUGGUUCGCCUUUAUGUUGUGAUAGCAA